CCUACGGGAGGCAGCAGUGAGGAAUAUUGGUCAAUGGGCGCGAGCCUGAACCAGCCAAGUAGCGUGAAGGAUGACUGCCCUACGGGUUGUAAACUUCUUUUAUAAAGGAAUAAAGUGAGGCACGUGUGACUUCCUGCAUGUACGUUCUGCACACUGACGUGCUCACGCCGUGCCAGCAGCCGCGGUAAUACGGAGGAUCCGAGCGUUAUCCGGAUUUAUUGGGUUUAAAGGGAGCGUAGAUGGGUUGUUAAGUCAGUUGUGAAAGUUUGCGGCUCAACCGUAAAAUUGCAAUUGAUACUGGCAGUCUUGAGUACAGUUGAGGUAGGCGGAAUUCGUGGUGUAGCGGUGAAAUGCUUAGAUAUCACGAAGAACUCCGAUUGCGAAGGCAGCUUACUAAACUGCCACUGACAUUGUGGCUCGAAAGUGUGGGUAUCAAACAGGAUUAGAUACCCUAGUAGUC
Molecule: ribosomal RNA, 460 nt
Filed under: uncultured bacterium
Lineage: Bacteria
Description: partial 16S ribosomal RNA
Rfam family: Bacterial small subunit ribosomal RNA
Source: RNAcentral